RNAcentral lists this ribosomal RNA (324 nucleotides) under uncultured bacterium. RNAcentral describes it as "bacterial SSU rRNA". It matches the Rfam family "Bacterial small subunit ribosomal RNA", at positions 32 to 346 of the family's 1533-position model. The record is from RNAcentral.
AAUCAACGCUGGCGGCGUGCCUCAGACAUGCAAGUCGAACGAUUAAAAGCUCCCUUCGGGGGAGUGUAUAGAGUGGCGCACGGGUGAGUAACACGUAAGUAAUCUGCCUUUGAGUGGGGAAUAACCCGGGGAACCCGAGCUAAUACCGCAUAAUGCAGCGGCACCGCAAGGUGACAGUUGUUAAAGGAGCAAUCCGCUUAAAGAGGAGCUUGCGGCAGAUUAGCUAGUUGGAAGGUAAUGGCUUACCAAGGCUACGAUCUGUAUCCGGUCUAAGAGGACGGUCGGACACACUGACACUGAAUAACGGGUCAGACUCCUACGGGA